This 1431-nucleotide ribosomal RNA is filed under the name Listeria monocytogenes. RNAcentral describes it as "partial 23S ribosomal RNA". It matches the Rfam family "Bacterial large subunit ribosomal RNA", at positions 1 to 1427 of the family's 2925-position model. The record is from RNAcentral. Lineage: Bacteria; Bacillati; Bacillota; Bacilli; Caryophanales; Listeriaceae.
GGUUAAGUUAGAAAGGGCGCACGGUGGAUGCCUUGGCACUAGGAGCCGAAGAAGGACGGGACUAACACCGAUAUGCUUUGGGGAGCUGUACGUAAGCGUUGAUCCAGAGAUUUCCGAAUGGGGGAACCCACUAUCUUUAGUCGGAUAGUAUCCUUACGUGAAUACAUAGCGUGAGGAAGGCAGACCCAGGGAACUGAAACAUCUAAGUACCUGGAGGAAGAGAAAGAAAAAUCGAUUUCCUGAGUAGCGGCGAGCGAAACGGAAAGAGCCCAAACCAAGAAGCUUGCUUCUUGGGGUUGUAGGACACUCUAUACGGAGUUACAAAAGAAAGUUAUAAAUGAAGCGGUCUGGAAAGGCCCGCCAAAGACGGUAACAGCCCGGUAGUUGAAAUGGCUUUCCCUCCAGAGUGGAUCCUGAGUACGGCGGAACACGUGAAAUUCCGUCGGAAUCCGGGAGGACCAUCUCCCAAGGCUAAAUACUCCCUAGUGACCGAUAGUGAACCAGUACCGUGAGGGAAAGGUGAAAAGCACCCCGGAAGGGGAGUGAAACAGUUCCUGAAACCGUGUGCCUACAAGUAGUUAGAGCCCGUUAAUGGGUGAUAGCGUGCCUUUUGUAGAAUGAACCGGCGAGUUACGAUUUGUUGCAAGGUUAAGCGGAAAAAGCGGAGCCGUAGCGAAAGCGAGUCUGAAUAGGGCGCAUAAGUAACAGGUCGUAGACCCGAAACCAGGUGAUCUACCCAUGUCCAGGAUGAAGGUAAGGUAAUACUUACUGGAGGUCCGAACCCACGCACGUUGAAAAGUGCGGGGAUGAGGUGUGGGUAGCGGAGAAAUUCCAAUCGAACUUGGAGAUAGCUGGUUCUCUCCGAAAUAGCUUUAGGGCUAGCCUCGAGGUAAAGAGUCAUGGAGGUAGAGCACUGUUUGGACUAGGGGCCCUUCUCGGGUUACCGAAUUCAGAUAAACUCCGAAUGCCAUGUACUUAUACUCGGGAGUCAGACUGCGAGUGAUAAGAUCCGUAGUCGAAAGGGAAACAGCCCAGACCACCAGUUAAGGUCCCCAAAUAUAUGUUAAGUGGAAAAGGAUGUGGGGUUGCUUAGACAACCAGGAUGUUGGCUUAGAAGCAGCCACCAUUGAAAGAGUGCGUAAUAGCUCACUGGUCGAGUGACCCCGCGCCGAAAAUGUACCGGGGCUAAACAUAUUACCGAAACUGUGGAUGAACCUCUUUAGAGGUUCGUGGUAGGAGAGCGUUCUAAGGGCGGUGAAGUCAGACCGGAAGGACUGGUGGAGCGCUUAGAAGUGAGAAUGCCGGUAUGAGUAGCGAAAGAAGGGUGAGAAUCCCUUCCACCGAAUAUCUAAGGUUUCCUGAGGAAGGCUCGUCCGCUCAGGGUUAGUCGGGACCUAAGCCGAGGCCGAUAGGCGUAGGCGAUGGACAACA